Molecule: non-coding RNA, 1079 nt
Organism: Microcebus murinus (gray mouse lemur)
Lineage: Eukaryota; Metazoa; Chordata; Mammalia; Primates; Cheirogaleidae
Source: RefSeq, a predicted model, not a curated record
AUGGAGACAGGCGAGGCUCUGGCUCUUACAGCCUCGCAGCCCUGCCCCUCUGGAGCUCCUUCCACCUGGUGGGGCUCUUGGUGCCCUCCCCGUGGGGGAAGGGAAGCAACAUGCAUUGGCACUACUGCACAUGGGCACUGGCCAUGCUGGGCCCUCCUAGCUCCUUAGACUCGCACCACCUGCUGCAUAUUCAGACCUGCUAGGAGUCACUUAUAGAAGAAGUGGCAGGCACAGAGAGGGAGAGCAACCUGCCCAAGGCCACACAGCUACCAAGGAAGGGCAGUGUCUGGCUCUGGAGCUGACUCUACCAGGCUGGACUGGGUCCCCUAGGUCAUGACCCAAAGGCCUCCAAGGGGUUGGGGGCUCUGGGGUGCUUGGUGUCUGGAUGUAGGAGAUGUCUCCGACAUCAGCAUAGCCAUCCCCACUGCCCUGACUGGCUGUGUAACUCUGGGUGAGCCUCCCUAGUUUGGGCCUCAGUUUCCUCAUCUGAAAAGGAAGAGGUUGCCAUGUGGUAGGAGAGCUCCUGUCAUGAUGCUCGAUCCCGCUGGGCGCUGCGCUGUGCUCCUGCUGACUCCCAGGACGCCCUCCUGCGAGCACCCAGCACUCUUCUCUCUGCCUCGCAUCAGGCCUGCCCCCUCUCCCUGCGGCCUCCUCCUUCCCAGGGCCCCCACACGCCAGCUCCCGGAGGGCAGAGGCUGCAGAGCAGGGGUGGGGAGCAGAGAGCCGAGGUCUCCGCCCAGGCUUCAGCAUGGGCCCUGUCCCCGGUGGGGAGCAGCCCUGUCCCACCCAGCGAGGCCUGUGCCUCCAUGGGGGAUGACCGCCGUCUGUCCAGACGCUGUGGGACAGACAUCCGGGGCGGACACCUGGGAGCGAGCGCUGGGAGACAGGAGGAGGCAGGGCGGCACCUUGUGGCUCUCAGUUCACCACCUUCCUCUGAGUCCCUCUGAGUCCUGGCCCGAGUCCCCUCUGCCUGUGCCUGGAGGACUCCCAAACAGGGAGGAGGAGGGGGAGGAGCGCGCAGUCUGGCAGUGGUGAUGCAGUGGGCCUUCCGUGCAGAGCGAGAUGUCUCCAGCAGGUGA